This 301-nucleotide ribosomal RNA is filed under the name uncultured bacterium. Its description in RNAcentral is "partial 16S ribosomal RNA". It matches the Rfam family "Bacterial small subunit ribosomal RNA", at positions 509 to 809 of the family's 1533-position model. The record is from RNAcentral.
CAGUAGCCGCGGUAAUACGAAGGGUGCAAGCGUUAAUCGGAAUUACUGGGCGUAAAGCGUGCGUAGGCGGUUUGUUAAGUCUGUUGUGAAAUCCCCGGGCUCAACCUGGGAAUGGCAAUGGAUACUGGCAAGCUAGAGUGUGUCAGAGGAUGGUGGAAUUCCCGGUGUAGCGGUGAAAUGCGUAGAGAUCUGGAGGAAUACCGGUGGCGAAGGCGGCCCCCUGGACAAAGACUGACGCUCAGGUGCGAAAGCGUGGGGAGCAAACAGGAUUAGAUACCCCGGUAGUCCCUGUCUCUUAUAA